AACGACUCUCGGCAACGGAUAUCUUGGCUCUCGCAUCGAUGAAGAACGUAGCGAAAUGCGAUACUUGGUGUGAAUUGCAGAAUCCCGUGAACCAUCGAGUUUUUGAACGCAAGUUGCGCCCUAAGCCGUUAGGCUGAGGGCACGUCUGCCUGGGUGUCA
RNAcentral lists this ribosomal RNA (159 nucleotides) under Limnanthes floccosa subsp. bellingeriana. Its description in RNAcentral is "5.8 ribosomal RNA". It matches the Rfam family "5.8S ribosomal RNA". From Rfam's summary of the family: 5.8S ribosomal RNA (5.8S rRNA) is a component of the large subunit of the eukaryotic ribosome. It is transcribed by RNA polymerase I as part of the 45S precursor that also contains 18S and 28S rRNA. The record is from RNAcentral. RNAcentral also lists the same sequence under 4 other names. Lineage: Eukaryota; Viridiplantae; Streptophyta; Magnoliopsida; Brassicales; Limnanthaceae.